Molecule: long non-coding RNA, 436 nt
Organism: Quercus robur (English oak)
Lineage: Eukaryota; Viridiplantae; Streptophyta; Magnoliopsida; Fagales; Fagaceae
Exons: 2
Source: RefSeq, a predicted model, not a curated record
UGUUAAUUUCCAAUUUUGGCCAUCUCUUACUCUCACGCACACUGGUUCUCUCUGGGCUCUCCGUGUCUCUCUUCCUAGCCGUAACUCACAAACUCUUCUUCCCCCUCUCUCUCGGCAAGGCAACUUCAGAGACAAAAAUGACCAAUGACAGAAGAGAUAUAUCCAUUCAACGAAAACGUAAAAGAGAGGAGACUGAAGUAUAUGAGGAAGAGGCAAUGAGAUUUUUGCCUUUGCUAGUGGAGUUUUUUUGUUAUGCUUGUUGGAAUAUGCUCGCGUAGGAAGUACUUUGUGAGAGAACCAUUAAGAAGUGAAAUUGAAGAAUAAUUUUUUAGUUUGAAAUUUUGAAUUUUAUGAAAAAAAAUCCAUCAUUUGGGUUUUUUCUCUAGUUGAUAUAAAAAUUUUAGUUGUCAAUAAUUGGCAAAAUAUUUUUUUAGUU